CUAGUGUACACAGGUGUAACAAUGUUGUAACAAUAACAAUGAUCCCCUACUGAAGAUGACUUAUGGUGCUUCUACAAAUGACAAGAAAAAGUCUGCACAUGUCCUGCAUGGAAAAGAGUAAUACUUACCAUGACUUGUCUAUGCUCUAUGAACCAAUGCAACAAUUUGCCAAAUGGAUUUAAAUUUGGAAAAAAGAGAAGGUCUGGUCAUGCUGUGGAACCACAUACAGCAUAAUCACCAGGUAUCAAGAGAGUGAUCCAGAAAUGGAGGCAGCAAAAGAACAGAGAAAAUCAAUCCCUAUAUCUUAUCCAGAAGAAAGUAAGAUCUCUGAAGGGAUUAGGAUCCUAUGUAUCCAAGCCACCCAAUGAGAGAAAUUGAGAUGGGUCAAAAAAUUAGUGAAAAAUAUCUACAUUAUAAUCUUCU
This 423-nucleotide long non-coding RNA is filed under the name Chinchilla lanigera (long-tailed chinchilla). RNAcentral's name for it is "lncRNA (ENSCLAG00000022653.1)". The record is from RNAcentral. Lineage: Eukaryota; Metazoa; Chordata; Mammalia; Rodentia; Chinchillidae.